This 83-nucleotide small RNA is filed under the name Polaribacter atrinae. Its description in RNAcentral is "Flavo-1 RNA". It matches the Rfam family "Flavo-1 RNA". The record is from Rfam by way of RNAcentral. Lineage: Bacteria; Pseudomonadati; Bacteroidota; Flavobacteriia; Flavobacteriales; Flavobacteriaceae.
UUGUAGGCUGCGUUAGGGAUUGCAGUGAAAAUCCUUUUUAUGAAGAAUGAAUAAAAAGAUUGUAGCGUAAAGCCCGACCUGAA